Molecule: ribosomal RNA, 261 nt
Filed under: uncultured prokaryote
Description: partial 16S ribosomal RNA
Rfam family: Bacterial small subunit ribosomal RNA
Source: RNAcentral
GACGAACCGUCCAAACGUUAUUCGGUAUCACUGGGCUUAAAGCGUGCGUAGGCGGCCUGGUAGGUGAGAUGUGAAAGCCCACGGCUCAACCGUGGAAUUGCGUUUCAAACCACCAGGCUGGAGGAUGGCAGGGGUGAUGGGAACUGAUGGUGGAGCGGUGAAAUGCGUUGAUAUCAUCAGGAACACCGGUGGCGAAGGCGCAUCACUGGGCCAUUUCUGACGCUGAGGCACGAAAGCUAGGGUAGCGAACGGGAUUAGAUA